Lolium perenne is the source of this 2756-nucleotide non-coding RNA. The record is from RefSeq and is a predicted model, not a curated record. Lineage: Eukaryota; Viridiplantae; Streptophyta; Magnoliopsida; Poales; Poaceae.
UCCCCCCAUUUCUCCUCCUCCUCCUCUGCCCCAUUCUCACGAUGAACCAGAUCGAUCAGAGGUGCCCACCGAUCCACCCGCUCCAGCCAGAUAGAACUGCGCCGCCCGCCUCAUCUGCGGGGUCGAUCGGGGCUGCCGGCCUCACCCGCGACCUUAUCCUGCACGUCCCAGCAGGCACGAACAUCACGGCCCUCCUUACAGGCGGGAUCGGAGCCGCCGGCCUCACCCACGACGUUCUCUGCGCCCCUUCCCCGAUUCCCUACCACGGGGGUUGCAUUGUCUGCAUCCACGAGAACGCCUCCGCCUGCAACCGCGAGAACGCCGCCGACCUCCUGAAGGUAACAACAUCCUCUACCAUCGUAGUAGUGGGAACUGAAGGUACUUCAUACUUGGUGUAUUGGUUGCUCUUGGCACCAUCGUUCUGAUUCAUAGAUUGUGGUACAGCUUCAUCUAUUAGUAUGUCCGAUCAACGGUGAUAUACUACAUGCAUAGAAGAUAUCUGUCAAUGCGGAAAUGUCACGUAGGGGGAGAUGAUAGAGAUACAGCUUGAGAGUCCUGCAUCUGCAACCUUCUCCUUGGAUCCAUUUGCUUGAAGUGGUUUGAACCAAUUACUUUAUACCUUAGUUAAAUGUAGUUUUGAUCGCAAUAUGAAACUGGUCUAUUGUGCCUGCUGCAUACAGCAAGUUCUUUCAUGUUCUAUGUUUUCAGUUUCUUAAAUGUUUUUUCAUUAUUUGUAGGUUCUGCUGCUAAGAAGCAGCGGGCAACUCCCAAGAAAAUCAGUCUGGUGCCAUUAGCUUAGCUGAUAAUGGCGAUUCGUUACAAUCCUGAAUGAAUGUCCUAUGCAGCUUUCUAUUUUACUUCAGAGUUUAAUAUUUAUAUAGGUCAUUUUAUCUUUCAAAGAACACCUCGGCCUGCUCCCACAAGAAUGCCGCUGCCCUCCUCUGGUUUCUGCUCUGGUCUGAGCGCCUCCUUCCUCUCUUGGUUCAGUUCGAAAAUAAGGCAAGAAGGCUGUAGAAAAUAACAAGACUCUUGGCAGGUAUUCUGAAUCGUGUAGGGUAGACACUAGAGUAGAUCAUCAGCAGGUAUUCUAAUUCGUCCAUUACUUGUUGUUUAUCCUACAAUAUGCCUUAAGGUAUUGUAUUCUGGGUACAUAUUUCGGUUGUUGAAUUUAGUGAAUUUUAUGACUUGGAAAAACAACAUUGUGCAUGCUUUUCUCGUCAAUCAAUAUAUAUACCCAUCCUUAUUAACACCAUCUAGUACAAGAUGAUCCUUUGUGGAAGAGAUUUUUUUUCUAAUGAGUAAGUACAACCAUGAUGAUAUAUCCUUAGUUAGUACUAAUUGAUAGCAUAACAGCCAUGAUGAUACUACUGAAUCUCAACAUGACUUCUGUUAACUUACCUACAACGUGUUCUUGUAUAGAGAGUAGCUCCUAUUUUAACCGAAAACUUAAUAUGCAGUUGCAUGGUCUCUGUAUUUUAAGUAGUUUGGUUCAGCAUUUUUUUUCAAACCUACCCAGAGACAAGCAUGCUAUCAUAUAAACCUAUGUGCUGAAACUACUACAAUUUGUCCUGAAACUAAAUGCUUUAGAGGUGAUGCUCUAUUUACAUGCUUUUCCCUAUUAAAGAGAUAAAGCGAGUCAUGAUAUCUAAGAGGGUCAGGUAGACAUAUGCAUGAGGCCUUUUGUCAAAUAGUAACCGACUGUAUGCUUAUGGUCAAUUGCUUUUUUAAGUCUUACUGUUAUAUGUUAACAUAUUUUGCUACUAAUGUUUCAUGAUAUCCUUCUUCGUCAAAGUAGUAAAAUCAUGUCCGCAACUCCAGAGUAUGAGAAGAACAUGGUAGCAAGGAUUAAGAGGCGCAUGACUGAGGAGGCAGGCCCUCUUGGGGACAUACAAAACAUAGCUAGUCAACUCCUAUACGGUCAGAAAAAAUAAGUAUUAAAGUUGCAGAGGUGAGGAUGGUGGCGGUGGCUCCAAAUAAUAGUCAAAUUAUGAUGAGCAGGAUGAUGAUGAUGAUGCCGGUGAUAUUUCUGGAUAAUAGGAGCUGGAGCUAACUCUACAUAUAUCAAAGGAAAAGGCAUUAUAUCUUAGUGUCAUACAUAUUUGUACAUAAUGCUUUUUUAUAAUCUGCUCAUGAUCAUGUGCAUAUCAAUGUUUAAUUGAGCAACAUGCUUGCGUCUUUCGAACCUAUUAUUUUGUAAGUUCAAUUGCACAUAUCAACUGUAUCUAACUUGAGCAACAAUGCUUUUCUUCUACAGACUUCCAUGGAAAAUAAAAGAAGAUGAGCACCUAGUGUUUGGUACACAUAUUGUGGUUGAAGUUCUGACGGAGCACAACUCCUCAAUAACCUUCAUUUCUAUCAUGGGGUACCAAUCAAGAUUUGGGAGGUUUAGGACAUCAGCUCCGAACGCAAAUGCAACGUACCAAUAACAGGUAACUGACAGAGGUAAAACGCAAGACGUUGCACUUGAAGUGAUGCAAAGGAAGAAACAUGAAGAAUUGAUGGCUAUGAAGAAGAUCCAAGAGGAAAAAACUAUAACAUAUGAAUAGCCUUAUUAGCUUCCACUUACGGAAGUACGCAACUCAGAACCAGACACCAUACUUGAUGGUGCACGGAAGCCAUGAUUAUGUUGUGGUGCUAUUGGAGCGUGAGACUAGUUUACUCAUAUUUUAGUAUGCUUUUGUAGUGCAACUUCUGUUCAGUUAUGUACAAUGAUAUUUGGUUGUGAGUUAGAUAUAUACACAUAUAUUGUGAUUCAA